GAGAGAGGCUGAGAUUUUGGGAGGACGGUUGGUUGGAGGGCGGACCUUUGAAGGAGCAAUUCCCUAGAUUAUUCUCUUUAUCAAGGACAAAAAACCAAAGUAUUUCCAAUUUGGUGGUUUCUUCUUUACAGCCGAAGGUGGAGUCUGUUCGGCUGCGUCAUUCCAGAGAAGACAGGAGAAGAUGGAAUUUAGAAGGUUCUGGCCAGUUCACUUGCAAAUCCUAUAACUCUUUCCUUCGUAACAAUGAAGUUGUGCAACAUUUUCCCCCUUUCGUUUAGAUAUGGAAAGCAAAAGUGCCUCCAAAAGUCAAAAUCCUUGUGUGGCUAGUGGCGCUUGGGAAGGUUAAUACGUGUGAUCAAGUCCAAAGACGAAUGCCUUUUGUUUGUUUCUCCCCCCAUUGGUGCGCAUUGUGCAAUUCCGGGGAGGAAAGCGUCAACCAUGUUUUCCUCCACUGUCCGUAUAGCAUUCAACUUUGGUGGAAAUUGCUCAACGAAGCUGGAAUGAGAUGGGUCACUCCAAAGGGCUGUUUUGAGCUCCUUAGCACUAAGUUCGAAGGCCUAGGGAAAGGGAGGAAAGCCAAAACUUUGUGGGGAUCUCUGUUGAUGGCCCUCUUCUGGAACAUUUGGUUGGAGCGUAAUAAAAGAGUCUUUGAGGAGUACAAGGGAGUGGGGGUUGAGGAGAUUUGGGAUAGAGUAAAACACUGGGCAGCCCUUUGGGCUUCGGUUUCAGUGGAGUUUAGAGAUUACAAUUUCUCUUCUAUUUUUAGGGAUAUGUUAGCUGCCGUUAUUUGACUUGGUCUAGCUUUUCCUCUGUUCUUUUAGUGUUCUUUAGGGGCCCCUGCUAGUUUUCUUUUAGCUCGGGGUGGUUUUCUUUUGCUUGUGGUUGUUGUUUCUCUUUUGUAAUUCUUUCGUUUUAUAAAAUUCUUUCGUUUCUUUUCAAAAAAA
Molecule: non-coding RNA, 944 nt
Organism: Malus domestica (apple)
Lineage: Eukaryota; Viridiplantae; Streptophyta; Magnoliopsida; Rosales; Rosaceae
Source: RefSeq, a predicted model, not a curated record